AUUGAACGCUGGCGGCAGGCCUAACACAUGCAAGUCGAGCGGAUGAAGGGAGCUUGCUCCUGGAUUCAGCGGCGGACGGGUGAGUAAUGCCUAGGAAUCUGCCUGGUAGUGGGGGAUAACGUCCGGAAACGGGCGCUAAUACCGCAUACGUCCUGAGGGAGAAAGUGGGGGAUCUUCGGACCUCACGCUAUCAGAUGAGCCUAGGUCGGAUUAGCUAGUUGGUGGGGUAAGGGCCUACCAAGGCGACGAUCCGUAACUGGUCUGAGAGGAUGAUCAGUCACACUGGAACUGAGACACGGUCCAGACUCCUACGGGGGGCAGCAGUGGGGAAUAUUGGACAAUGGGCGAAAGCCUGAUCCAGCCAUGCCGCGUGUGUGAAGAAGGUCUUCGGAUUGUAAAGCACUUUAAGUUGGGAGGAAGGGCAGUAAGUUAAUACCUUGCUGUUUUGACGUUACCAACAGAAUAAGCACCGGCUAACUUCGUG
This 484-nucleotide ribosomal RNA is filed under the name uncultured bacterium. Its description in RNAcentral is "partial 16S ribosomal RNA". It matches the Rfam family "Bacterial small subunit ribosomal RNA", at positions 30 to 507 of the family's 1533-position model. The record is from RNAcentral.